Molecule: ribosomal RNA, 465 nt
Filed under: uncultured bacterium
Lineage: Bacteria
Description: bacterial SSU rRNA
Rfam family: Bacterial small subunit ribosomal RNA
Source: RNAcentral
CCUACGGGAUGCACCAGUGGGGAAUAUUGCACAAUGGGCGCAAGCCUGAUGCAGCCAUGCCGCGUGUAUGAAGAAGGCCUUCGGGUUGUAAAGUACUUUCAGCGGGGAGGAAGGCGAUAAGGUUAAUAACCUUGUCGAUUGACGUUACCCGCAGAAGAAGCACCGGCUAACUCCGUGCCAGCAGCCGCGGUAAUACGGAGGGUGUAAGCGUUAAUCGGAAUUACUGGGCGUAAAGCGCACGCAGGCGGUCUGUCAAGUCGGAUGUGAAAUCCCCGGGCUCAACCUGGGAACUGCAUUAGAAACUGGCAGGCUGGAGUCUUGUAGAGGGGGGUAGAAUUCCAGGUGUAGCGGUGAAAUGCGUAGAGAUCUGAAGGAAUACCAGUGGCGAAGGCGGCCCCCUGGACAAAGACUGACGCUCAGAUGCGAAAGCGUGGGGAGCAAACAGGAUUAGAUACCCCGGUAGUC